Molecule: ribosomal RNA, 460 nt
Filed under: uncultured bacterium
Lineage: Bacteria
Description: partial 16S ribosomal RNA
Rfam family: Bacterial small subunit ribosomal RNA
Source: RNAcentral
CCUACGGGUGGCAGCAGUGAGGAAUAUUGGUCAAUGGACGAGAGUCUGAACCAGCCAAGUAGCGUGAAGGAUGACUGCCCUAUGGGUUGUAAACUUCUUUUAUAAAGGAAUAAAACGAGGCACGUGUGCCUUUUUGCAUGUACUUUAUGAAUAAGGAUCGGCUAACUCCGUGCCAGCAGCCGCGGUAAUACGGAGGAUCCGAGCGUUAUCCGGAUUUAUUGGGUUUAAAGGGAGCGUAGAUGGGUUGUUAAGUCAGUUGUGAAAGUUUGCGGCUCAAACGUAAAAUUGCAAUUGAUACUGGCAGACGUGAGUACAGAUGAGGUAGGCGGAAGGCGUGGUGUAGCGGGGAAAUGCGUAGAUAGCACGAAGAACCCCGAGUGCGAAGGCAGCUUACUAAACUGUGACUGACAUUGAUGCUCGAAAGUGUGGGUAUCAAACAGGAUUAGAUACCCCUGUAGUC